RNAcentral lists this ribosomal RNA (386 nucleotides) under uncultured prokaryote. RNAcentral's name for it is "bacterial SSU rRNA". It matches the Rfam family "Archaeal small subunit ribosomal RNA", at positions 339 to 725 of the family's 1478-position model. The record is from RNAcentral.
GCGCGAAAACUUUACAAUGCUGGCAACAGCGAUAAGGGAACCUCGAGUGCCAGGUUACAAAUCUGGCUGUCGAGAUGCCUAAAAAGCAUUUCAUAGCAAGGGCCGGGCAAGACCGGUGCCAGCCGCCGCGGUAACACCGGCGGCUCGAGUGGUAACCGUUAUUAUUGGGUCUAAAGGGUCUGUAGCCGGCCGGAUAAGUCCCUUGAGAAAUCUGGCAGCUUAACUGUCAGGCUUUCAGGAGAUACUGUCUGGCUCGAGGCCGGGAGAGGUGAGAGGUACUUCAGGGGUAGGGGUGAAAUCUUGUAAUCCUUGAAGGACCACCAGUGGCGAAGGCGUCUCACCAGAACAGACCUGACGGCAAGGGACGAAAGCUAGGGGCACGAACC